GNCCUCAGAUCGGACGAGAUUACCCGCUGAAUUUAAGCAUAUAACUAAGCGGAGGAAAAGAAACUAACAAGGAUUUCCCCAGUAACGGCGAGUGAAGCGGGAAGAGCCCAGCACCGAAUCCCUCAGUGUCACGCUGACGGGAACUGUGGUGUGUGGGACGCCACCAGUCGCAUCAGAGGGCGCCGAAGUCCUCCUGAUCGGGGCUUCACCCAGAGCGGGUGUAAGGCCUUUGCAGGUGCCUCUCUGUGCGGCCGCGAGCGUCUCAGGAGUCGGGUUGUUUGGGAAUGCAGCCCAAAKCGG
Molecule: ribosomal RNA, 300 nt
Filed under: Limax maximus
Lineage: Eukaryota; Metazoa; Mollusca; Gastropoda; Stylommatophora; Limacidae
Description: eukaryotic LSU rRNA
Rfam family: Eukaryotic large subunit ribosomal RNA
Source: RNAcentral